RNAcentral lists this ribosomal RNA (1600 nucleotides) under metagenome. RNAcentral's name for it is "bacterial LSU rRNA". It matches the Rfam family "Bacterial large subunit ribosomal RNA", at positions 1252 to 2925 of the family's 2925-position model. The record is from RNAcentral.
GAAGUCGCAGCGGAAGCAGCGGUGGACUGUACAGGAGUGAGAAUGCCGGAAUGAGUAGCGAGAAUUAUGUGGGAAUCAUAAUGGCCGAAAAUCUAAGGUUUCUUGGGGAAGGUUCGUCCGCCCAAGGUAAGCCGGGAGCUAAGGCGAGGCCGCGAGGCGUAGUCGAUGCACAUACGGUAGAAAUUCCGUAGCCACCGAACUUUAAACCAGAAGGACACUUUCAGAUAGCGGGACCCAGCCGUUGGUAGAGCUGGGCGCAAGGGACCGAAAUAUAGUAGGGAAGUCCGCGAUGCUGGGAGGCGAGAAAAGCUCUGGUGUACACUAAGGUGCCCGUACCGCAAACCGACACAGGUAGAUGAGGAGAGAAUCCUAAGGCCAACGGGAGAAGGGUUGUUAAGGAACUCGGCAAAUUGACCCCGUAACUUCGGAAGAAGGGGAGCCUCGAAAGAGGCCGCAGUGAAUAGGCCCAAGCAACUGUUUACCAAAAACACAGGUCUAUGCUAAAUCGAAAGAUGACGUAUAUGGGCUGACGCCUGCCCGGUGCCGGAAGGUUAAGAGGAGAGCUUAGCGCAAGCGAAGGUUUGAAUUGAAGCCCCGGUAAACGGCGGCCGUAACGAUAACGGUCCUAAGGUAGCGAAAUUCCUUGUCAGGUAAGUUCUGACCCGCACGAAUGGCGUAAUGAUUUGGGCACUGUCUCGACAGCCCGCCCGGCGAAAUUGUAGUACUGGUGAAGAUGCCAGUUACCCGCAACUAGACGGAAAGACCCCAUGGAGCUUUACUGCAGUUUAAUACUGGGAAUCGGUAAUUCAUGUACAGGAUAGGUGGGAGACUGAGAAGCAUGGCCGUCAGGUCGUGUGGAGUCACCGGUGGGAUACCACUCUUGGAUUGCUGGUUUCCUAACCUGCGGCCCUGAAUCGGGUCGGGGGACACUGUUAGACGGGCAGUUUGACUGGGGCGGUCGCCUCCAAAAGAGUAACGGAGGCGCUCAAAGGUUCGUUCAGCACGGACGGAAAUCGUGCAUUGAGUGUAAACGCAUAAACGAGCCUAACUGCGAGACCGACGGAUCGAGCAGUAACGAAAGUUGGAGUUAGUGAUCCGGUGGUAUGUGAGUGGAAAUGCCAUCGCUCAACGGAUAAAAGCUACCCUGGGAUAACAGGCUGAUCUCCCCCAAGCGUCCACAGCGACGGGGAGGUUUGGCACCUCGAUGUCGGCUCGUCGCAUCCUGGGGCUGUAUUCGGUCCCAAGGGUUUGGCUGUUCGCCAAUUAAAGCGGUACGCGAGCUGGGUUCAGAACGUCGUGAGACAGUUCGGUCCCUAUCUGUCGUGGGCGCAGGAUAUUUGAUGGGAGCUGUUCCUAGUACGAGAGGACCGGAGCGGACGUACCUCUGGCGCACCAGUUGUUCUGCCAAGGGCAUAGCUGGGCAACUAUGUACGGAUCGGAUAAACGCUGAAAGCAUCUAAGCGUGAAGCCGACCCAAAGAUAAGAUAUCCCAUUGUUUCAAACAAGUAAGACCCCUUGAAGACUACAAGGUUGAUAGGCACGAUGUGUAAGUGGAGUGAUCCAUUCAGCAAGCGUGUACUAAUAGGUCGAGGGCUUGACC